GAUGAACGCUGACAGAAUGCUUAACACAUGCAAGUCUUUGGCGAAGCUGUGCUUGCACAGCCUAGCCAAGGAGGACGGGUGAGUAACGCGUAAGGAACUUGCCCUGCAGUCAGGGAUAACAGACGGAAACGACUGAUAAGACCUGGUAAAGUCAGGCGGACUCAUGUCCAGCCUGAUGAAAAGAGAUGCUGCAGGAGAGCCUUGCGUCCUAUUAGCUUGUUGGUGGGGUAACGGCCCACCAAGGCGAUGAUAGGUAGCCGGCCUGAGAGGGUGGACGGCCACAAGGGGACUGAGAUACGGCCCUUACUCCUACGGGAGGCAGCAGUGGGGAAUAGUGGACAAUGGGGGCAACCCUGAUCCAGCAAUUCUGUGUGCACGAUGAAGGUUUUCGGAUUGUAAAGUGCUUUCAGCAGGGAAGAAAAAAAUGACGGUACCUGCAGAAGAAGCGACGGCUAAAUACGUG
Molecule: ribosomal RNA, 463 nt
Filed under: uncultured bacterium
Lineage: Bacteria
Description: partial 16S ribosomal RNA
Rfam family: Bacterial small subunit ribosomal RNA
Source: RNAcentral